This 253-nucleotide ribosomal RNA is filed under the name uncultured bacterium. RNAcentral describes it as "partial 16S ribosomal RNA". It matches the Rfam family "Bacterial small subunit ribosomal RNA", at positions 524 to 776 of the family's 1533-position model. The record is from RNAcentral.
UACGGAGGGGGCUAGCGUUGUUCGGAAUUACUGGGCGUAAAGCGCACGUAGGCGGCUUUGUAAGUUAGAGGUGAAAGCCCGGAGCUCAACUUCGGAAUUGCCUUUAAGACUCCAUCGCUUGAAUCAUGGAGAGGUCAGUGGAAUUCCGAGUGUAGAGGUGAAAUUCGUAGAUAUUCGGAAGAACACCAGUGGCGAAGGCGACUGACUGGACAUGUAUUGACGCUGAGGUGCGAAAGCGUGGGGAGCAAACAGG